Long non-coding RNA from Eurytemora carolleeae, 179 nucleotides. RefSeq lists it as uncharacterized. The record is from RefSeq and is a predicted model, not a curated record. Lineage: Eukaryota; Metazoa; Arthropoda; Copepoda; Calanoida; Temoridae. The transcript is spliced from 2 exons.
AAAUUAUUAUUAUUAUAUUUGUUACAGAGGAAAAUGAGGGUUGAAUUUAUCUUGGCACUCCUCUACCCCUUCCCAUCAUACAGUAAGGACACUCAUUUUGAUAUUUUGAUUCUAACCCAACACUGGCCCUACACAACCUGUACAGAUUGGGAGGAAAAGAAACCAAGUAAUGGCUGCAA